UAAGUACUCCCUUCGUUCCAAAAUAAAUGACUCAAAAGUGACUCAAUUUUAUACUAAAGUUAGUGUAAAGUUGAGUCAUAUUUGGGUCACUUAUUUUGGGACGGAGGGAGUAUUUC
Molecule: non-coding RNA, 116 nt
Organism: Hordeum vulgare subsp. vulgare (domesticated barley)
Lineage: Eukaryota; Viridiplantae; Streptophyta; Magnoliopsida; Poales; Poaceae
Source: Rfam